Molecule: non-coding RNA, 111 nt
Filed under: Foraminifera environmental sample
Lineage: Eukaryota; Foraminifera
Source: RNAcentral
GAUGAACAGAAUGAGAGAAAAACAGGAAUGAGAAAAAAAAUGAGUGAUAUGUUACUGCCCGUAGAUGUUUAAUUCCAUCUGUUGUUCCUGUUCCUCCUCCUCCUCAUAGAU